RNAcentral lists this non-coding RNA (29 nucleotides) under Rattus norvegicus (Norway rat). The record is from RNAcentral. Lineage: Eukaryota; Metazoa; Chordata; Mammalia; Rodentia; Muridae.
UGUUUAGAUGCUACCAGGGUGUUCUGUUA